RNAcentral lists this ribosomal RNA (253 nucleotides) under uncultured bacterium. RNAcentral's name for it is "partial 16S ribosomal RNA". It matches the Rfam family "Bacterial small subunit ribosomal RNA", at positions 524 to 776 of the family's 1533-position model. The record is from RNAcentral.
UACGUAGGGUGCAAGCGUUGUCCGGAAUUCUUGGGCGUAAAGAGCUCGUAGGCGGUCUGUCGCGUCGAAUGUGAAAUCCCGAGGCUCAACCUCGGGUCUGCAUUCGAUACGGGCAGACUAGAGUUCGGUAGGGGAGUCUGGAAUUCCUGGUGUAGCGGUGAAAUGCGCAGAUAUCAGGAGGAACACCGGUGGCGAAGGCGGGACUCUGGGCCGAUACUGACGCUGAGGCACGAAAGCGUGGGGAGCAAACAGG